This is a long non-coding RNA of Micropterus dolomieu (smallmouth bass), 194 nucleotides long. RefSeq lists it as uncharacterized. The record is from RefSeq and is a predicted model, not a curated record. Lineage: Eukaryota; Metazoa; Chordata; Actinopteri; Centrarchiformes; Centrarchidae. The transcript is spliced from 3 exons.
UAACUUACAGAGUUGUAUCUCUCACUGCUGGAACUGAAUACACAUUCACUCUCUUCUCUGUGUUUGAGAACAUCUUAAGCAGUGGAGUGAGCGUUACUGCAGCCACUGGCCCUAAUUAUGUUCUUGCCAUGAACGUGGAAUUGGAGUCGUUUUCUCAGCUGUCGGACUCGGAACUGCAGAGUGCACUAACUGCU